Molecule: long non-coding RNA, 301 nt
Organism: Amphiprion ocellaris (clown anemonefish)
Lineage: Eukaryota; Metazoa; Chordata; Actinopteri; Pomacentridae
Exons: 3
Source: RefSeq, a predicted model, not a curated record
AGGAACUCGAGGCAGGAUGAAGGUGGUGCAAACCCGUUUCCUGUAAGAUCCUUCGAGUCCAACGUCUAGGAUGAUGUCGGCACUGGAAAAAUGGAGGAUGCAAAUGUGCAGGAUCUCGUUGGGACGGAUCUCCAGAACCUCGACCUUUGAGCUACAUCUGCCUUCAAAUCCAGCUGAGCUCCUGCAGUUUCGGAGUUCGAUGUAAGCCUUGCAUCAGUUCCCCUUCAGAUCUCCGUGGAAAGUCGGUGUCGAGUCUCCGGUGAGUUGACGAGCAUCGAGUUCAAGCCACAUGUCAACAGCU